UACGGGGGGAGCAAGCGUUGUCCGGAUUUAUUGGGCGUAAAGAGCGUGUAGGCGGCUAGAUAGGUCCGUUGUGAAAACUCGAGGCUCAACCUCGAGACGUCGAUGGAAACCAUCUGGCUAGAGUCCGGAAGAGGAGAGUGGAAUUCCUGGUGUAGCGGUGAAAUGCGCAGAUAUCAGGAAGAACACCCGUGGCGAAGGCGGCUCUCUGGUACGUGACUGACGCUGAGACGCGAAAGCGUGGGGAGCAAACAGG
RNAcentral lists this ribosomal RNA (253 nucleotides) under uncultured bacterium. RNAcentral describes it as "partial 16S ribosomal RNA". It matches the Rfam family "Bacterial small subunit ribosomal RNA", at positions 524 to 776 of the family's 1533-position model. The record is from RNAcentral.